GCCUAAAGAGCAGGCUCUUUUUGAUGAGCUGAGCCGAACGAGCCGGCUCACUGAAAAGAGCCGGAAUUCCCAUCACUAAUAACUGUACAGUUUUACUUGAUCUCUCAGGUAUGACCUGAUGAAGUUCUGCUGGAUGUGGAGCUUCAAAGACCGGCCUGUGUUGUCAGCCAUCAUCAAGCUUCUGGAGUCCUACACAUUCCUGGCUGGCACUAGACAUCUACAUCCCAGAUGGCAUAGACAUCUUUGACUACACCAAGAGGGCAGGUGUGCUCCUCUAAAUAUCUAGCCUAAAGCAUCACAUUCAUGAAGAGGCUAAAAGCAAGCAGGGGCAGACUGGCCAUCUGGCAUUUCUGGCAUAUGCCAGAUGGCUGGUCCAUUUUUAGCUCAGUGAGCCUGUUAAUGAUAAUUUUCAACCAAAAAAAGUUCUGGCAAUUAUCUGCCGAUAAGCUAGGAUUUGGCCAGUGAGGGGGGCCUCAAAUGGCCUGGUGUGUUAGACGCCAGGGCCGAUUUCUGGUCCCAGUCUGCCCCUGAAAGCAAGGAUUUGGUCCCUUACAAAGUAUGGCUGUAGUUGAUUCUAGGUUCAUGUGUACUGUACUGUGGUAUCAACAUCCAGAGAGAUUUUAUUAAACCGAGAUGAAAUGUUGUAAAUGAUUUAACAUAAGGGUGUGUAAGUAUUGUAUGGCGACUGCAACCUAUAGCCUUAUUGUAAGAUUGCACAAAAUGUUGUACAACCACACUGGGGAUUUUUGGAUGAGUGAGACUUUCAGCACAAAAUGGACGUCAGGAAGAAAAAUCUUCUAAUGUUAUUGUCACAAUCCCUCACCUCACAUGUUUGGUCCAUCAGUAGUGAAUUCUUUUUGAAAUUGUACAGAUAUAAUAAGCGUUCUUGAUGUCAUCUUGUCAUGAAACCAGGCAAGUCAUUAUAAAUCACCACUUUAUUGUCAAAGGUACAGAAUAAAAAAU
RNAcentral lists this long non-coding RNA (963 nucleotides) under Salmo salar (Atlantic salmon). RNAcentral's name for it is "lncRNA (ENSSSAG00000105641.1)". Lineage: Eukaryota; Metazoa; Chordata; Actinopteri; Salmoniformes; Salmonidae. The record is from RNAcentral.